GACGAACGCUGGCGGCGUGCUUAACACAUGCAAGUCGAACGGAAAGGCCCUGCUUUUGUGGGGUGCUCGAGUGGCGAACGGGUGAGUAACACGUGAGUAACCUGCCCUUGACUUUGGGAUAACUUCAGGAAACUGGGGCUAAUACCGGAUAGGAGCUCCUGCUGCAUGGGGGGGGUUGGAAAGUUUCGGCGGUUGGGGAUGGACUCGCGGCUUAUCAGCUUGUUGGUGGGGUAGUGGCUUACCAAGGCUUUGACGGGUAGCCGGCCUGAGAGGGUGACCGGCCACAUUGGGACUGAGGUACGGCCCAGACUCCUACGGGAGGCAGCAGUGGGGAAUAUUGCGCAAUGGGCGGAAGCCUGAUGCAGCAACGCCGCGUGCGGGAUGCCGGCCUUCGGGUUAUAAACCGCUUUCGCCUGUGACGAAGCGUGAGUGACGGUAAUGGGUAAAGAAGCACCGGCUAACUACGUG
RNAcentral lists this ribosomal RNA (468 nucleotides) under uncultured bacterium. RNAcentral describes it as "partial 16S ribosomal RNA". It matches the Rfam family "Bacterial small subunit ribosomal RNA", at positions 28 to 507 of the family's 1533-position model. The record is from RNAcentral.